Molecule: ribosomal RNA, 472 nt
Filed under: uncultured bacterium
Lineage: Bacteria
Description: partial 16S ribosomal RNA
Rfam family: Bacterial small subunit ribosomal RNA
Source: RNAcentral
GACGAACGCUGGCGGCGUGCUUAACACAUGCAAGUCGAACGAUGAACCCGGAGCUUGCUCUGGGGGAUUAGUGGCGAACGGGUGAGUAACACGUGAGUAACCUGCCCUGGACUCUGGGAUAAGCGUUGGAAACGACGUCUAAUACCGGAUAGGACCUUGGAUCGCAUGAUCUGGGGUGGAAAGUUUUUUCGGUCUGGGAUGGACUCGCGGCCUAUCAGCUUGUUGGUGAGGUAAUGGCUCACCAAGGCGUCGACGGGUAGCCGGCCUGAGAGGGUGACCGGCCACACUGGGACUGAGACACGGCCCAGACUCCUACGGGAGGCAGCAGUGGGGAAUAUUGCACAAUGGGCGAAAGCCUGAUGCAGCAGCGCCGCGUGCGGGAUGACGGCCUUCGGGUUGUAAACCGCUUUUAGUAGGGAAGAAGGGCUUCGGCUUGACGGUACCUGCAGAAAAAGGACCGGCUAACUACGUG